CUGAUUUGGUGGUGUCGCUGUUCAGUUGCAAAUUUAAUCCUUGGUCUGGCUGCCAUCUGGAAAGUGUCUACUAUUCUGAAGAUGUGCAUGAUCCUAAUGAGUAGAGUUAAUAAAUAGAAACCUAAAUGAAAUACCCAGUGCAAACUAUGUUCUUCAAUGUGGAAUUAAAAGAGGUAAUUGCUUCCCCUCAUGGGAGGUAAGCAGGUCAUGGGUGCCGAUGAGUGUCCAUUGGUUGCUCAAUUGUGAUAUUAGCAGUUCCCUAUGAUAAAAGAUGGAGCUCGAGUAUAUUCUUUGCAAUUCAUGAGGUAACUGUACAUGCUUUAGUAUCUAACUGAUUUGGAAGACGGGUUAGCAUGUCUGUGGAUUUUAUGAUUUCUGCUGCCAAUAUAUGUUGUUGCUUAAAUGUUAAUCGUUGUUAUGCAGAAAACGAAGUCGUUCACUGUCCCCAAGGCGCCGCAAAAGUCGUUCUCCAGCCACCAGACAACAUAAAAGUCGCUCUCCAAUGAACUAUAGGAGACAAAAAAGAAGUAGGAGUAUAUCAUUGUC
Molecule: long non-coding RNA, 546 nt
Filed under: Nicotiana benthamiana
Lineage: Eukaryota; Viridiplantae; Streptophyta; Magnoliopsida; Solanales; Solanaceae
Description: long non-coding RNA (NBEN_LNC038719)
Source: RNAcentral